UCUCGAAUAGCAUUAUGGCUGA
RNAcentral lists this microRNA (22 nucleotides) under Drosophila virilis. Its description in RNAcentral is "dvi-miR-986-5p". Its record names the gene dvi-miR-986-5p. Lineage: Eukaryota; Metazoa; Arthropoda; Insecta; Diptera; Drosophilidae. The record is from miRBase by way of RNAcentral.